ACGAACGCUGGCGGCGUGCUUAACACAUGCAAGUCGAGCGAGAGCCGGCUGAGGGGGUAACCCUCGGCCGGGGACAGCGGCGAACGGGUGCGUAACACGUGGGCAACCUGCCCCUGACUCUGGGAUAACCCCGGGAACCGGAGCUAAUACCGGAUACUCUCGGCCAACCACAUGGUCGGCCGAGGAAAGAUCUGUCGGUC
This 200-nucleotide ribosomal RNA is filed under the name uncultured bacterium. RNAcentral describes it as "partial 16S ribosomal RNA". It matches the Rfam family "Bacterial small subunit ribosomal RNA", at positions 29 to 220 of the family's 1533-position model. The record is from RNAcentral.